AGGUUAUUUUUCUCUCAAAUUCGUGUCUACCAACGCCCAAUUGAUUCUAGGUAACCCAACAUCCUGAGCUAUCUGCAUUAUGCUAAAGCUUCUCAAUAGGUAAGCCGUUCACGUUAUGCUGGGUAAUUGACAUUUUUUUUUUGCAUUUCUAGUGGUUUUGUCACCAAGAUUGGUACUUAUGUUCUUACUAAAAGAACAAUAACAGUGCCUUACAUGAUCGAUAAGAGGAGAAAAAGAAUUCAUUUGAAGAAUUACCCGUACAUUUAGUUGCUAGCUGAUGUAAAGCUGCUUAACACUUCCCCUAUGGCAAACUUCUAUAGUUUUCUGACUGAGAAGUCUACAAAAGGUAUUGCAAAUUGGAAACAGUGAGCUUUUGAUGCACAUAUCCAUUGAAUUUCUCAAUACUCUUCAUUUGUUAUUUUGCUCUCCAAUCAUAGUUUCUUUUUGAUAUACCUGCUGUGCGCCUGCUCCAUAAGUUGUUCAUAGCAAGCUGAUUGUCUUCUUAAUGUUUCUCCCCAUCUAUUAUUUUAAUCACUUUAUUUAAUGUUUAUGAUCCAAGGUCGAAGCUCUCAUUUAAUCGCCUUAUUUCAUUUUACAUGAUCCAAGGACCAAGCUCUCUUAGAGGUAAAUAUCAACCUUAAUUCAAUUACUUUUAUGGAAUAUCACACAUAAAUUAUUUUCAUCACACUCAGAUAGAAAGCAGAGUGGGGUUCGGAAGUUAGGAGCUUCCGUAUAAACUACAAAGUGCACAUUUUCUAUUUGAUGCCUAAACACUAGUUACAUCAGUAGGAACACGGAAAAAACCCAUAUCCAGCAG
RNAcentral lists this long non-coding RNA (817 nucleotides) under Nicotiana benthamiana. RNAcentral describes it as "long non-coding RNA (NBEN_LNC003333)". The record is from RNAcentral. Lineage: Eukaryota; Viridiplantae; Streptophyta; Magnoliopsida; Solanales; Solanaceae.